Molecule: ribosomal RNA, 356 nt
Filed under: uncultured bacterium
Lineage: Bacteria
Description: bacterial SSU rRNA
Rfam family: Bacterial small subunit ribosomal RNA
Source: RNAcentral
AUUGAACGCUGGCGGCAUGCCUUACACAUGCAAGUCGAACGUGAAAGCGGGGCAACCCGCAAGUAGAGUGGCGGACGGGUGAGUAAUACAUCGGAACGUGUCCAGUAAUGGGGGAUAACCUAGCGAAAGUUAGGCUAAUACCGCAUACGAUCUGCGGAUGAAAGCGGGGGAUGCGGCACUAAAGGCUUUUGGCGAAGGUCGCCAAAGGUGAGUCAAGAGCUUUUAGUGCUGCACCUCGCGUUAUUGGANCGGCUGAUGUCUGAUUAGCUAGUGUGAGGUAAAGCUUACAAGGCGACGAUCAGUAGCUGGUCUGAGAGGACGGCCAGCCACACUGGGACUGAGACACGGCCCAGACU